UCCCCCGUCUCGGUUUGGAGCACGAAACUCUGCUGUCUGCUGGGCUGCAGAGUCUGCAAGCUUCCUUCCAAUCAGUAGCCAGGUUUGGCCUUGAUAAUAAGCUUUGUGCAGCAAUCAUUGACUUCGGUUAAGGACCUAAGUACUGAAAGUCACAGAAAACCUGCAGAUUCUGCAGUCCUCUUGGACUGCGGUUUCAUUUUCCUGUUAUACAGUCUGGGUUUAGAGACCGGUGAAGAUUUCCCUUCACCUUGAAUUAGGCCUGCUGGAUGCCUGUUGGGUCAGAAUCUCUCGCCCAGUUCAAAUGGAGCCCAACCAAAAUACAUACAUAAAUGUAGACUAAAUGAUUUAUUUGCAGACAUUGUCAUUUAGACUCGUCACAGCAGAUAAAUUCUGACUCCGCCUCUAUCCUCUGUCCACCCCCCCCCCCCCCCUUCCCCUCAGCCCUUUCUCGUCAAAUACAGUCAACGAUGACGCAAUUCGAAAACAAAACUGACCUGCCAUUUUAGUUCAGGGAAGGCCUGCCAUGGACUGUUUGCAAGCCUGGAGUUUGAGUAUACUAGUAUCAGGGUUCGAACGAACAAUGCUAGUUUGAAGCACGGUUUGACAGCUCAGAGAGCGAUCUGUGUGGACUCGUUUAGGUGAUUUUGAGGGACUUGCUUGAUGUUAGGUCUGCAGAGCCCAUGUCAUAAAGGGGCGAUUAACAGAAUAACCAGCGACUCUCGACAGUGCAGU
This is a long non-coding RNA of Anguilla rostrata (American eel), 732 nucleotides long. RefSeq lists it as uncharacterized. The transcript is spliced from 2 exons. NCBI's taxonomy places the organism in Eukaryota, Metazoa, Chordata, Actinopteri, Anguilliformes, Anguillidae. The record is from RefSeq and is a predicted model, not a curated record.